RNAcentral lists this long non-coding RNA (546 nucleotides) under Ananas comosus (pineapple). RNAcentral describes it as "long non-coding RNA (ACOM_LNC018883)". The record is from RNAcentral. Lineage: Eukaryota; Viridiplantae; Streptophyta; Magnoliopsida; Poales; Bromeliaceae.
UAUUUAUUUAUUUAUUUUAGAUAAUGUUACCAAAAGUUUCAACAUCUUUUUAGAAAAAAGAGAGAGAGAGUAUAAGUUAGAGAGAAAACAUAAUUAAAAAAAUAGAAAGAAAAAUAUAGUCGAAAUUAGAGAGAGUGAGAGAGUUGAAAUUUUAGAAAAAUAGAGAAAGAAAGCUUAGUUUAGAGAGAGAGAAAAAAAAUUUGAAUUUUAGAGAGAAAAAUAAGUUUAGAGAGAAAUAUAAGGUUAGAGUGUAAAGAAAAAUAAUAUCAAUUAGCCGGCGGGUAGGAAGAAAGAAAGAGAUUAGACAUAUUAUGAUUAUCCCAAUCCAUUAAUAUGAGAAUACCCACCCUCCCUCAAGGAAAUGAGAUUAGUAUUUUGGGGUGAAUCUUAUUCCCAAGUGAAUCCAAUAUUACCAAUUAGAUUAUUUAGUGCGUUUAGCCAAACACCGUCAUAUUUUUUUAUUUCUAUUGAAUUAUUAGAAAUCUUUAAAAGAUAGCGCGAACCAAACGCACCCUUAAGAAUAAAUACAUGGAUGGGAAUCUUUCA